GAUGAAGAACGCAGCGAAAUGCGAUAAGUAAUGUGAAUUGCAGAAUUCAGUGAAUCAUCGAAUCUUUGAACGCACAUCGCGCCCCCUGGUAUUCCGGGGGGCAUGCCUGUCCGAGCGUCAUUACAAUCCUCAAGCUCAGCUUGGUGUUGGGCCCCGCCGCCCCGGCGGGCCCUAAAGUCAGUGGCGGUGCCGUCCGGCUCCGAGCGUAGUAAUUCUUCUCGCUCUGGAGGUCCGGUCGUGUGCUCGCCAGCAACCCCCAAUUUUUUUCAGGUUGACCUCGGAUCAGGUAGGGAUACCCGCUGAACUUAAGCAUAUCAAUAAGCGGAGGA
Molecule: unclassified non-coding RNA, 329 nt
Filed under: soil metagenome
Description: partial contains 5.8S ribosomal RNA, internal transcribed spacer 2, and large subunit ribosomal RNA
Rfam family: 5.8S ribosomal RNA (bases 1-120)
Source: RNAcentral